GAUGAACGCUGGCGGCGUGCCUAAUACAUGCAAGUCGAGCGAACAGACGAGGAGCUUGCUCCUCUGACGUUAGCGGCGGACGGGUGAGUAACACGUGGAUAACCUACCUAUAAGACUGGGAUCACUUCGGGAAACCGGAGCUAAUACCGGAUAAUAUAUUCAACCGCAUGGUUCAAUAGUGAAAGACGGUUUUGCUGUCACUUAUAGAUGGAUCCGCGCCGCAUUAGCUAGUUGGGAAGGUAACGGCUUACCAAGGCAACGAUGCGUAGCCGACCUGAGAGGGUGAUCGGCCACACUGGAACUGAGACACGGUCCAGACUCCUACGGGAGGCAGCAGUAGGGAAUCUUCCGCGAUGGGCGAAAGCCUGACGGAGCAACGCCGCGUGAGUGAUGAAGGUCUUCGGAUCGUAAAACUCUGUUAUUAGGGAAGAACAAAUGUGUAAGUAACUAUGCACGUCUUGACGGUACCUAAUCAGAAAGCCACGGCUAACUACGUG
Molecule: ribosomal RNA, 497 nt
Filed under: uncultured bacterium
Lineage: Bacteria
Description: partial 16S ribosomal RNA
Rfam family: Bacterial small subunit ribosomal RNA
Source: RNAcentral